UACGAAGGGUGCAAGCGUUACUCGGAAUUACUGGGCGUAAAGCGUGCGUAGGCGGUUUGUUAAGUCCGUUGUGAAAGCCCUGGGCUCAACCUGGGAAUUGCAGUGGAUACUGGCGAGCUAGAGUGCGGUAGAGGAUGGUGGAAUUCCCGGUGUAGCGGUGAAAUGCGUAGAGAUCGGGAGGAACACCCGUGGCGAAGGCGGCCAUCUGGACCAGCACUGACGCUGAGACACGAAAGCGUGGGGAGCAAACAGG
RNAcentral lists this ribosomal RNA (253 nucleotides) under uncultured bacterium. RNAcentral describes it as "partial 16S ribosomal RNA". It matches the Rfam family "Bacterial small subunit ribosomal RNA", at positions 524 to 776 of the family's 1533-position model. The record is from RNAcentral.